Molecule: ribosomal RNA, 754 nt
Filed under: uncultured Gammaproteobacteria bacterium
Lineage: Bacteria; Pseudomonadati; Pseudomonadota; Gammaproteobacteria
Description: bacterial SSU rRNA
Rfam family: Bacterial small subunit ribosomal RNA
Source: RNAcentral
UGAUCAUGGCUCAGAUUGAACGCUGGCGGCAUGCCUAACACAUGCAAGUCGAACGGUAACGACGGGAGCUUGCUCCCGGGCGACGAGUGGCGGACGGGGGAGUAAUACUUAGGAAUCUGCCCAGUAGUGGGGGACAACUCGAGGAAACUCGAGCUAAUACCGCAUACGCCCUACGGGGGAAAGCGGAGGAUCCUUCGGGACUUCGCGCUAUUGGAUGAGCCUAAGUCGGAUUAGCUUUUUGGGGGGGUAAAGGCCUACCAAGGCAACGAUCUGUAGCUGGUCUGAGAGGACGAUCAGCCACACUGGGACUGAGACACGGCCCAGACUCCUACGGGAGGCAGCAGUGGGGAAUAUUGGACAAUGGGGGCAACCCUGAUCCAGCAAUGCCGCGUGUGUGAAGAAGGCCUGCGGGUUGUAAAGCACUUUCAGUAGAGAAGAAAUGCCCAUGGUUAAUACCCGUGGGUCUUGACGUAACCUACAGAAGAAGCACCGGCUAACUCCGUGCCAGCAGCCGCGGUAAUACGGAGGGGGCGAGCGUUAAUCGGAAUUACUGGGCGUAAAGCGCGCGUAGGCGGUUUGGUCAGUCGGAUGUGAAAGCCCUAGGCUCAACCUGGGAAUGGCAUUCGAUACUGCCUGACUAGAGUAUGGUAGAGGGAAGUGGAAUUUCCGGGGUAGCGGGGAAAUGCGUAGAUAUCGGAAGGAACACCAGUGGCGAAGGCGACUUCCUGGGCCAAUACUGACGCUGAGGGGCCCC